RNAcentral lists this ribosomal RNA (1335 nucleotides) under Hymaea magna. RNAcentral describes it as "eukaryotic LSU rRNA". It matches the Rfam family "Eukaryotic large subunit ribosomal RNA", at positions 70 to 1119 of the family's 3401-position model. Lineage: Eukaryota; Metazoa; Arthropoda; Insecta; Coleoptera; Phloeostichidae. The record is from RNAcentral.
UAGGAUUCCCUCAGUAGCUGCGAGCGAACAGGGAUUAGCCCAGCACCGAAUCCCGCGGCCGAUACCGGACGCCGGGAAAUGUGGUGUUAGGGAGGAUCCAUUUAUCCCGAGAUUGUGCGGUGCGUCCAAGUCCUUCUUGAACGGGGCCACAGCCCAUAGAGGGUGCCAGGCCCGUAGUGACCUCUGCCAAUCGCGGGAGGAUCUCUCCUCAGAGUCGGGUUGCUUGAGAGUGCAGCCCUAAGUGGGUGGUAAACUCCAUCUAAGGCUAAAUAUGACCACGAGACCGAUAGCGAACAAGUACCGUGAGGGAAAGUUGAAAAGCACUUUGAAGAGAGAGUUCAAGAGUACGUGAAACCGUUCAGGGGUAAACCUGAGAAACCCGAAAGGUCGAAAGGGGAAAUUCAUUCGCAUUUCGAUGCUAGCGUAAGACGGUCGCAUGACAAAUGGCGUUCGCGUCGUUUGCGUCUUCUGUUUUCACGAACUGGCGUCGAAUGCGUGCACUUUUCCCCUAGUAGGACGUCGCGAUCCGUUGGGUGCCGGUCUAAGGCCCGUGGUGGAGCCCGUUCGUGUUCGGUUUACGCCGUUCGCGUUCGGACCCAUGGAUGCCCGACCGGCUUGCCCGACGGUAUACAGAUGGUGCAGAGCCGCGACUUAGUUCGCGUCCGGCCCAUGGCAAGCGCGUUUGUGUGUCGGCAAUCGGACCUAGUGCCGGUUGUGUGACCUCGAAUGACUGUUGGCUGUGGUGUUUUCUCGGACAGACUCUGAUUAUGAAACACCGAUCUGCGGCGCUAUAGCUUUGGGUACUUUCAGGACCCGUCUUGAAACACGGACCAAGGAGUCUAGCAUGUGCGCAAGUCAUUGGGACAUAACCAAACCUAAAGGCGUAAUGAAAGUAAAGAUUUGUCUUGCACAAAUCAAGGGAAGAUGAGUGGUUUGCCCUUAAAGUGGCCGCUCCGCAUUCCCGGGGCGUCUCAUUCUCAUUGCGAGAAGAGGCGCACCAAGAGCGUACACGCUGGGACCCGAAAGAUGGUGAACUAUGCCUGGUCAGGACGAAGUCAGGGGAAACCCUGAUGGAGGUCCGUAGCGAUUCUGACGUGCAAAUCGAUCGUCGGAACUGGGUAUAGGGGCGAAAGACUAAUCGAACUAUCUAGUAGCUGGUUCCCUCCGAAGUUUCCCUCAGGAUAGCUGGCGCUCAUUGCGUACGAGUCUCAUCCGGUAAAGCGAAUGAUUAGAGGCAUUGGGGUCGAAACGACCUCAACCUAUUCUCAAACUUUAAAUGGGUGAGAUCUCCGGCUUGCUCGAACUAUAAUUGAAGCCGUGAGACACGGAUCAGAG